CGCACAACCAACAGCGGUCGCGCACGUGCUCGGGCGGGUGUGUGCCUGCGUGCGCUUGAUCACGCUCUCUUUGCCCUGCUCAAAUCUCCUUCCUAGGCCAUUCUUCAUGGCGUCUCAUGGCGAGUCCGCAGUGCCGGCGCCUGGCCUGCAGCGGCGCGGCACCGUCAGCGGCGCUGGGGUAAGGACCAUCACGACAGCGGUGGGGCGCCUGCUGACUGACUACGCGGUGCAGCUGCGCGAAGACCUUGGAUCCACCGACGCCACCGGCGGCGUCUCCUUUAAGCCAGGCUGGGAGGCCGAGGAUGGUGACUUGGUCAAGGUAGAGGGCGAAGGCAGCGACUCCGCCGCAGGCAGCGCCGUUGAGACACGCCAUAGAACGAGCUCACGUCACGCAACCGAUGCGGAUGACGAGGCGGCGCCGCUGACAGAGGCUGACACGGCGGAGUGCCGCCAGCGCUUACAGCGACUGCAGCGCGUCAAGCAUCUUCUUGCUCAGUAUUCGGGACGUGCAGAGCGUCGUCGCGUGCACGCGGAGGCUGUGAAGACGUCUUUCCUCAGAUCAGGGAGCACAGCAGAGGCUGAUGACGAGGCGGACGGCGCCUGCCGUGUGAGCUGUGAGACGGUGCGCCAGAAUCCUGUACUCAUGCUAGCACUGCGUCGCUUCGAUCGAAUCGCACAGGGCUUCCAAGGUACAACGGCGCCGGCGGCAGUGGCGAAGGCUCAGGGUGGUGGCCUGCGCGAGGCAGGCACGGCCGCUUCAGUAUCGGGAACAAACAAGGUGAACUUCAUCCAGCCGUUUCUGAAUCCCGUGCCUCUCGCCGAAGGUGCCCUGAGCGCUUUUAGCCGCAAUGUGAACAUCGUGUUUCGUCGUCGCCCGACCGCCGGUGGCCCUCCCGCUACCGGCAAGCGGCCACGCGACGAGGCCGUCGACUCCGCUGCAUCGUCCUGGGCGUCUACAGCGGUGGCACCAGAUGCGCACAACUACUGGGACCUGCUGGCCACACAGCAGCGCAGGCGUCGCUUCUCCCUUUACACUGCCCGCGCCGCGCUGCUGCCACGCGUGAACGCCGUGUGCGCGCCACUGUAUGUCUCCCUUGCUGUCCAGGAGCUCGCGCAGCUCAACUCGGAGGCGGAGCGCUUCAUGUUGAAGCGGGCUUGGUGUGUGCACACCAAGGCGCGCUUGCUGCGCGAGGUGCCGUGGGUGGCCCGCGAUGUUGCCGCGUACCGAGUCGCCUUGCGCGAGGCGCUGCCGGGCUUCACCGAGUCGCAGCAAGACGCCUUCCUUAUCGACGUUGUCUACGCCGAGUUUGUCUGCGCUGAGGGCGGCAUCGUGCGCGUGUGUGUGCAGCAUGCACUCUUCCUGGACCUCACCUAUGACGUGCGGCGCCAACAGUGGACGCUCGUCGCGCUCCACUGGAAUAUCUUCACCACCAGCGCCGGCGCGUCGCUCUUGACAUCGCAGUCAGCAUUGGCAGUGCCUCAUGCACAGACCCCGUCCGCCCCGCCGGCUGCGCCUGCCACAGCGGCUCUAGCCCCCUUGAUAGCUCACAGCUGUGCUCACGGCACUGACGACUCUGCCUCGCCAUUACCUGAAGCGCCCACGCCUGCGUCUUUUGUAAGAAUUGUUCCUCAGGAUCGCGAGGCACUGCACCGCUUUUUGCGGCUGGCCUUUGCACAGGAGGGACUGAGUGGCGGGCUGCAUGCGGCUAACCGCUUGGUCUGCGCCGUUGUGAUGGACACCUUUGCCACCCAGCUUCAAUCCCUCCAGCAUUCAUUUUUCACGGGCGGCGGGCUCGGUAGGCUCGUCGAGAUGGAGGUGCGGCCGGGCACGCUAAUCAGCUUUCACCUCUCCUUGCCAGAGCUCUUUGUGCCGUCAGCGCCUGUGGCGCAUGUAAAGAUGACUGUGGCAGGCGGCACCGUGAUGCUGGAGUGUGUGCGGGGCACUGACCUCUCCACGAGACGGGUGAAGCUGCCUCUCGGGACUUCGUCCCUGGUCGCCUCAGCCACGGUGGGCGUAAAUACGGCAACUCGGAGGUCUUCGAUGACCGUGGUGGAUAUGGAGGCCUUAUUGUGGCAGUGCGUGUGUGCCUCUGCUUCCUCCUAAGCGGUUGCGGCACCUCCGUGCGUUAUGCUGGAUAGGAAGGUAGGCCUAGAGAGGGAUAGCAGAAUGGUGGGUUUCGCAAUGUGCGUCGCUGGAGAAACCCAACGUGCGUGCGCGCACGCAUGCGCAAAAAAAAAG
RNAcentral lists this unclassified non-coding RNA (2239 nucleotides) under Leishmania donovani. RNAcentral describes it as "gene:LdHU3.32.3320(CDS-product:hypothetical_prote in_conserved)". The record is from RNAcentral. Lineage: Eukaryota; Euglenozoa; Kinetoplastea; Trypanosomatida; Trypanosomatidae.